UGCCAGCCGCCGCGGUAAUACGGAGGGUCCAAGCGUUAUCCGGAUUUAUUAGGUUUAAAGGGUACGUAGGCGGAAGAAUAAGUCAGUGGUGAAAUCCUGCAGCUCAACUGUAGAACUGCCAUUGAUACUGUUUUUCUUGAGUAUAGUUGAGGUGGGCGGAAUGUGUAGUGUAGCGGUGAAAUGCAUAGAUAUUACACAGAACACCAAUUGCGAAGGCAGCUUACCAAACUAUUAUUGACGCUGAAGCACGAAAGCGUGGGUAGCGAACAGGAUUAGAUA
Molecule: ribosomal RNA, 279 nt
Filed under: uncultured bacterium
Lineage: Bacteria
Description: partial 16S ribosomal RNA
Rfam family: Bacterial small subunit ribosomal RNA
Source: RNAcentral